GGCAGAGCAUGCAGUAACGUUGCCUGGCUGCAAGGCUGAAUGCAACAUCCUGGAGUCUGCAUUACAAAGUGAUGUCUGGAUUUCACAGACUUUUAAAUAAAAGGUUGAAGUUCUCAAAAAUUAGACAUUGAACACAGUGGCUCAGGCUUUAAAGAAAAUUCACAAGACUUGUAAAAAGGAAUUCUCCAUUUACCAUAUAGAUGGAUCCAUUGAUGGAAGAGCUUCCAGGCUUCAUGGUUACUCAAGAACUGAACUUUGAAAUUCCUUUUUUUUCUGAAAUCCAUUACUAUCCCAUUACAGAACAGAAAUAUAUCUGUCAAAUUCUACCUGCAUACUAAAAUAAAAGGUAAC
Long non-coding RNA from Alligator mississippiensis (American alligator), 351 nucleotides. RefSeq lists it as uncharacterized. The transcript is spliced from 3 exons. The record is from RefSeq and is a predicted model, not a curated record. Lineage: Eukaryota; Metazoa; Chordata; Crocodylia; Alligatoridae.